AGUGAACGCUGGCGGUAGGCCUAACACAUGCCAGUCGAACGGCAGCACAGUAAGAGCUUGCCCUUACGGGUGGCGAGUGGCGGACGGGUGAGGAAUACAUCGGAAUCUACUUUUUCGUGGGGGAUAACGUAGGGAAACUUACGCUAAUACCGCAUACGACCUACGGGUGAAAGCAGGGGAUCUUCGGACCUCGCGCGAUUGAUGGAGCCGAUGUCGGAUUAGCUAGUUGGCGGGGUAAAGGCCCACCAGGGCGACGAUCCGUAGCUGGUCUGAGAGGAUGAUCAGCCACCCUGGACCGGAGACACGGUCCAGACUCCUACGGGAGGCAGCAGUGGGGAAUAUUGGACAAUGGGCGCAAGCCUGAUCCAGCCAUACCGCGUGGGUGAAGAAGGCCUUCGGGUUGUAAAGCCCUUUUGUUGGGAAAGAAAAGCAGCAGGUUAAUCCCCCGCUGUUCUGACGGUACCCAAAGAAUAAGCACCGGCUAACUUCGUG
RNAcentral lists this ribosomal RNA (492 nucleotides) under uncultured bacterium. Its description in RNAcentral is "partial 16S ribosomal RNA". It matches the Rfam family "Bacterial small subunit ribosomal RNA", at positions 29 to 507 of the family's 1533-position model. The record is from RNAcentral.